GUAGGGAAUAUUGCGCAAUGGGGGAAACCCUGACGCAGCGACGCCGCGUGAGUGAUGAAGGCCUUCGGGUCGUAAAGCUCUGUUGCAGGGGAAUAAAAAAAUGAAGGUACCCUGUGAGGAAGGAUCGGCUAACUUCGUGCCAGCAGCCGCGGUAAGACGAGGGAUCCUAGCGUUGCUCGGAAUCAUUGGGCGUAAAGAGGGCGUAGGUGGCUUGGUAAGUCAGGUGUGAAAGCCCAGGGCUCAACCCUGGAAGUGCAUUUGAUACUGCUGAGCUUGAGUGUCGGAGAGGUUACCGGAAUACCUGGUGUAGUGGUGAAAUACGUAGAUAUCAGGUGGAACACCGGAGGCGAAGGCGGGUAACUGGACGAACACUGACACUGAGGCCCGAAAGCGUGGGGAUCAAACAGGAUUAGAAACCCCUGUAGUCC
Molecule: ribosomal RNA, 428 nt
Filed under: uncultured bacterium
Lineage: Bacteria
Description: partial 16S ribosomal RNA
Rfam family: Bacterial small subunit ribosomal RNA
Source: RNAcentral